AGACAGACGAGCCGUUGACCGGGCGAUCACGGGGGUCUCCCCGCGGUACCUGGUCCUCCCCAGCUCCACGAUGCAGCAGCCGUAGUCGGCCCCGAAGGAGAUUCGCACGUUCCUGUAGUCGUAGCUCUGCCGCCCGUCCAAGCGCUGCAAAGCCGAGAGCAGAGUCACUACCCGCGCGGGAGCCCGGCGACUCGACACAGUAAUUCUGAAAAUUUACAAGCAGGACAAUGCUAAUGACCGGUACUGAAGAAAUUACAAAACAGGGAUGUGUCAAUUGCUGGAGAGUUCACAAUAGGCUUUCACAGCUUUAAAAUGAAUCAAUGUGAUCAGAUUACAUCGAGUCCAGUAUUGAUGAAGAUGUGAGAAUGAGACCUCACUAUUUGAAGGAAAAAGAGCUAAAUGGGCGAGGAGAUCCAUGACUUUCUGCUCCUGGCAGAAGCGCAUCUAGUAGCUCCCUCUGUACAUGGAGCUGGCAUGCUAGGAUGCACACAAAUAAAGGAGAGCUGCUAGGUGUGCUUGCCAAGAUAGAUCUCAGCAGUUAAUAGGAACCAAUUUAGCCUCUGUGCAAAUUAAAGCUGCUCUCACUUAUAUAAUCGGGUAAUGGUUUCCAUGGGCCAUUUUGCUGUCUGAAGACCACUGGAGCACAGCUGGAGUUGGAGACACUUCCCUUGGCCACAUCUUACAUGGAAUGAGAUCCUUCCUGUGAUGGAGAGUCUUGCAAGACAUGAGACUCUUCAGUUGCCCAUUUAAGGCAUCUUACUGUGGUGUUAUGGGCCAGGAGCUGACCAAGUGAAUUUCCUGAGGUCUUUACUUGAAUAAGGACCCUGAGAUACAGUCCAAUGAUUUACUUUUUUGUUUGAGAGGCUAUAUUGGCUCUCCCUUUUUACAGUAUAAAAUCUACUGAAAACAAGAUUUGUGAAACAACUUCCGCCUUGAUUUGUGUCAUCUGGAGUCUGUGAGCUACAGAGGAACGAGUCAGUAAUGCAGUACCUUAGGUUUGAGUUUACUGAUCCAUAUCAUAGAGAUUGUACUUAAGUAUCUUCAUUUACAUAGGGUCAGUUGUUGGGCUAAAACAUUGCAGUAGUUCUGUGCUAUGACAAGUGGACAGCCACAAUCUUGUUCUUAUAACAAGGGCAAUUUUUUAAAAACCAUGAUCAUAGAUAGUAACACCCAUACACUACAUUUAUGCAACCCUUUUGUUUCACUAAAAGUGUUGCAAUGCUGAUGUACAUUUUUUUCUCAUUUUGUUGUUCUCAAGUGUUAGUUACAUAAAUUUACUUAGUAUUGAGUCUGCACACUCAUCAUAGGUGGCAGGUAUAAUAGGCCAGGGAAGGUGGGGUGCUGCUGCCGGCCUGCUGCCAGAUUCCUGGGCCCUGGUGGCCUCAGCCC
Molecule: long non-coding RNA, 1389 nt
Organism: Mauremys mutica (yellowpond turtle)
Lineage: Eukaryota; Metazoa; Chordata; Testudines; Geoemydidae
Exons: 4
Source: RefSeq, a predicted model, not a curated record